UUAAAUGUGUGUCCAAAAUUCAUGUAGC
Molecule: non-coding RNA, 28 nt
Filed under: Bombyx mori (domestic silkworm)
Lineage: Eukaryota; Metazoa; Arthropoda; Insecta; Lepidoptera; Bombycidae
Source: RNAcentral